GGGUAAAUCAAGCCGUUGCUUCUAGGUAGAUUAUUAGUGGUAGCAGUUGGGUUAGGGAUGGUGGUGCUAACGGGGAGUUUCCUUUUGUUGACAUGUUAAUUUCAGUGCCCACAUUUACCAGGCUGAAACCCAGGGGAAGGAUUUAGCAGAUGAUAUUUAUCUCCUAGAAAUCACCACGAGACCUUCUCAGAAGUGUUUUGUAAGAAGAAGCCAAAAGACUGAACCCUUGAGUGAUAUACAGUCUAAGGAGCUUUAUGCUACUUCUUCCUUCAGCUUAUGGCUUUGAAAGGAAAAAACCUGCAACUUUGGGGGAAUGAUGUCAGCAGUGGGUCCUGAAUGGGCAGCCAGAGAUGGAGCCAGAUGGAAAGAUGCUCCACACUCCAUUCUUCUAUUCCAAAACCUGGACGACCAAGGAAGCAAGCAGUUCUUCUAUGAUGUCAGGUAUGAUGCUCACAUUAUUUGCAUGAUGGAAUUGUGAGUGAUUCUGAUAUAUUUGCCAAUAUUUAUUCUUUACUUUCAAAUUUAAAAAUCUAAAUAGCUUUAAGUAAAGAGUAUCUAUCUAUCGACAGAAGAUAAUCUCAAGUGCAGAGUGG
RNAcentral lists this long non-coding RNA (593 nucleotides) under Bos indicus x Bos taurus (hybrid cattle). RNAcentral's name for it is "lncRNA (ENSBIXG00005015257.1)". Lineage: Eukaryota; Metazoa; Chordata; Mammalia; Artiodactyla; Bovidae. The record is from RNAcentral.